GAGUUUGAUCCUGGCUCAGAUUGAACGCUGGCGGCAGGCCUAACACAUGCAAGUCGAGCGGAAACGAGUUAACUGAACCUUCGGGGAACGUUAACGGCGUCGAGCGGCGGACGGGUGAGUAAUGCCUGGGAAAUUGCCCUGAUGUGGGGGAUAACCAUUGGAAACGAUGGCUAAUACCGCAUAAUAGCUUCGGCUCAAAGAGGGGGACCUUCGGGCCUCUCGCGUCAGGAUAUGCCCAGGUGGGAUUAGCUAGUUGGUGAGGUAAUGGCUCACCAAGGCGACGAUCCCUAGCUGGUCUGAGAGGAUGAUCAGCCACACUGGAACUGAGACACGGUCCAGACUCCUACGGGAGGCAGCAGUGGGGAAUAUUGCACAAUGGGCGCAAGCCUGAUGCAGCCAUGCCGCGUGUAUGAAGAAGGCCUUCGGGUUGUAAAGUACUUUCAGCAGUGAGGAAGGUGGAUAUGUUAAUAGCAUAUUCAUUUGACGUUAGCUGCAGAAGAAGCACCGGCUAACUCCGUGCCAGCAGCCGCGGUAAUACGGAGGGUGCGAGCGUUAAUCGGAAUUACUGGGCGUAAAGCGCAUGCAGGUGGUUUGUUAAGUCAGAUGUGAAAGCCCGGGGCUCAACCUCGGAAUUGCAUUUGAAACUGGCAAACUAGAGUACUGUAGAGGGGGGUAGAAUUUCAGGUGUAGCGGUGAAAUGCGUAGAGAUCUGAAGGAAUACCGGUGGCGAAGGCGGCCCCCUGGACAGAUACUGACACUCAGAUGCGAAAGCGUGGGGAGCAAACAGGAUUAGAUACCCUGGUAGUCCACGCCGUAAACGAUGUCUACUUGGAGGUUGUGGCCUUGAGCCGUGGCUUUCGGAGCUAACGCGUUAAGUAGACCGCCUGGGGAGUACGGUCGCAAGAUUAAAACUCAAAUGAAUUGACGGGGGGCCCGCACAAGCGGUGGAGCAUGUGGUUUAAUUCGAUGCAACGCGAAAAAACCUUACCUACUCUUGACAUCUACAGAAAGCCCAGCGGAAGACGCCAGGUUGUUGCCUUCGGGGGAACUUGUAAAAACAAGGGUGCUGCAAUGGCUGUUC
RNAcentral lists this ribosomal RNA (1081 nucleotides) under uncultured bacterium. Its description in RNAcentral is "bacterial SSU rRNA". It matches the Rfam family "Bacterial small subunit ribosomal RNA", at positions 9 to 1054 of the family's 1533-position model. The record is from RNAcentral.